GAUUAACGCUGGCGGCGUGCCUAAUACAUGCAAGUCGAGCGAACGGACGAGAAGCUUGCUUCUCUGAUGUUAGCGGCGGACGGGUGAGUAACACGUGGAUAACCUACCUAUAAGACUGGGAUAACUUCGGGAAACCGGAGCUAAUACCGGAUAAUAUUUUGAACCGCAUGGUUCAAAAGUGAAAGACGGUCUUGCUGUCACUUAUAGAUGGAUCCGCGCUGCAUUAGCUAGUUGGUAAGGUAACGGCUUACCAAGGCAACGAUGCAUAGCCGACCUGAGAGGGUGAUCGGCCACACUGGAACUGAGACACGGUCCAGACUCCUACGGGAGGCAGCAGUAGGGAAUCUGCCGCAAUGGGCGAAAGCCUGACGGAGCAACGCCGCGUGAGUGAUGAAGGUCUUCGGAUCGUAAAACUCUGUUAUUAGGGAAGAACAUAUGUGUAAGUAACUGUGCACAUCUUGACGGUACCUAAUCAGAAAGCCACGGCUAACUACGUG
This 497-nucleotide ribosomal RNA is filed under the name uncultured bacterium. RNAcentral describes it as "partial 16S ribosomal RNA". It matches the Rfam family "Bacterial small subunit ribosomal RNA", at positions 28 to 507 of the family's 1533-position model. The record is from RNAcentral.